AAGCGCUUAUGACCAGACUUUUUCCUGGCGGAUCAUCCAGUGUUCUCACUGGUGCACUUCGCCUGGUUUAGGCCAGCAUCGAUUUCCGUAGGGGGAUAAAAGCUUUGGGAAUGUGGCUCCCCCGGGAGUGUUAUAGCCCUUUGUAUAAUACCUUUAUGGGGAUCGAGGUACGCGCUUCUGCAAGGAUGCUGGCGUAAUGGUCAUCA
RNAcentral lists this ribosomal RNA (206 nucleotides) under Xylariales sp. Its description in RNAcentral is "partial large subunit ribosomal RNA". The record is from RNAcentral. Lineage: Eukaryota; Fungi; Ascomycota; Sordariomycetes; Xylariales.